GAUGAACGCUGGCGGCGUGCCUAAUACAUGCGAGUCGAGCGAACGGACGAGAAGCUUGCUUCUCUGAUGUUAGCGGCGGACGGGUGAGUAACACGUGGAUAACCUACCUAUAAGACUGGGAUAACUUCGGGAAACCGGAGCUAAUACCGGAUGAUAUUUUGAACCGCAUGGUUCAAAAGUGAAAGACGGUCUUGCUGUCACUUAUAGAUGGAUCCGCGCUGCAUUAGCUAGUUGGUAAGGUAACGGCUUACCAAGGCAACGAUGCAUAGCCGACCUGAGAGGGUGAUCGGCCACACUGGAACUGAGACACGGUCCAGACUCCUACGGGAGGCAGCAGUAGGGAAUCUUCCGCAAUGGGCGAAAGCCUGAAGGAGCAACGCCGCGUGAGUGAUGAAGGUCUUCGGAUCGUAAAACCCUGUUAUUAGGGAAGAACAUAUGUGUAAGUAACUGUGCACAUCUUGACGGUACCUAAUCAGAAAGCCACGGCUAACUACGUG
This 497-nucleotide ribosomal RNA is filed under the name uncultured bacterium. RNAcentral describes it as "partial 16S ribosomal RNA". It matches the Rfam family "Bacterial small subunit ribosomal RNA", at positions 28 to 507 of the family's 1533-position model. The record is from RNAcentral.